RNAcentral lists this ribosomal RNA (505 nucleotides) under uncultured Alphaproteobacteria bacterium. RNAcentral describes it as "partial 16S ribosomal RNA". It matches the Rfam family "Bacterial small subunit ribosomal RNA", at positions 9 to 519 of the family's 1533-position model. The record is from RNAcentral. Lineage: Bacteria; Pseudomonadati; Pseudomonadota; Alphaproteobacteria.
GAGUUUGAUCAUGGCUCAGAAUCAACGCUGGCGGCGUGCCUAACACAUGCAAGUCGAACGCGAAAGUGGAGCAAUCCAUGAGUAGAGUGGCAAACGGGUGAGUAACGCGUGGGCGACCUACCCUUGAGUGGGGGAUAACCUUCCGAAAGGAGGGCUAAUACCGCAUGACAUCCCCUGUUUAGAUACAGGGACAUCAAAGCCGGGGAUCGCAAGACCUGGCGCUUGAGGAGGGGCCCGCGUCCGAUUAGCUAGUUGGCGGUGUAAUGGACCACCAAGGCGACGAUCUAUAGCUGGUCUGAGAGGAUGAUCAGCCACACUGGGACUGAGACACGGCCCAGACUCCUACGGGAGGCAGCAGUGGGGAAUCUUGGACAAUGGGCGCAAGCUUGAUCCAGCCAUGCCGCGUGAGUGAAGAAGGCCUUAGGGUUGUAAAACUCUUUCGCCGGAGAAGAUAAUGACGGUAUCCGGAGAAGAAGCCCCGGCUAACUUCGUGCCAGCAGCCGCA